CACAAGCGGUGGAGCAUGUGGUUUAAUUCGAUGCAACGCGAAGAACCUUACCUGGUCUUGACAUCCACAGAACUUUCCAGAGAUGGAUUGGUGCCUUCGGGAACUGUGAGACAGGUGCUGCAUGGCUGUCGUCAGCUCGUGUUGUGAAAUGUUGGGUUAAGUCCCGCAACGAGCGCAACCCUUAUCCUUUGUUGCCAGCGGUCCGGCCGGGAACUCAAAGGAGACUGCCAGUGAUAAACUGGAGGAAGGUGGGAUGACGUCAAGUCAUCAUGGCCCUUACGACCAGGGCUACACACGUGCUACAAUGGCGCAUACAAAGAGAAGCGACCUCGCGAGAGCAAGCGGACCUCAUAAAGUGCGUCGUAGUCCGGAUUGGAGUCUGCAACUCGACUCCAUGAAGUCGGAAUCGCUAGUAAUCGUGGAUCAGAAUGCCACGGUGAAUACGUUCCCGGGCCUU
Molecule: ribosomal RNA, 457 nt
Filed under: uncultured Enterobacteriaceae bacterium
Lineage: Bacteria; Pseudomonadati; Pseudomonadota; Gammaproteobacteria; Enterobacterales; Enterobacteriaceae
Description: bacterial SSU rRNA
Rfam family: Bacterial small subunit ribosomal RNA
Source: RNAcentral